AGUGAACGCUGGCGGUAGGCCUAACACAUGCAAGUCGAACGGCAGCACAGGAGAGCUUGCUCUCUGGGUGGUGAGUGGCGGACGGGUGAGGAAUACAUCGGAAUCUACUCUGUCGUGGGGGAUAACGUAGGGAAACUUACGCUAAUACCGCAUACGACCUACGGGUGAAAGCAGGGGACCUUCGGGCCUUGCGCGAUUGAAUGAGCCGAUGUCGGAUUAGCUAGUUGGCGGGGUAAAGGCCCACCAAGGCGACGAUCCGUAGCUGGUCUGAGAGGAUGUCCAGCACAAGUGGAACGGGGACAGGGCCAAACUCCCAAGGGGAGGAAGCAGUGGGGAAUAUUGGACAAGGGGCACAAUCCUGCCCCAGCCAUACGGGGUGGUGGAAGAAGGCUUCGGGGUUGUAAACCCCGUUUGUUGGGAAAGAAAUCCAGCUGGCUAAUACCCGGUUCGUAUGACGGUACCCAAAAAAUAGGCACGGGCAAACUUCGUGCAAGCAGCCGCCGUAA
This 506-nucleotide ribosomal RNA is filed under the name uncultured bacterium. RNAcentral's name for it is "partial 16S ribosomal RNA". It matches the Rfam family "Bacterial small subunit ribosomal RNA", at positions 29 to 523 of the family's 1533-position model. The record is from RNAcentral.